AGGACUACGGACGGGCUGAG
This 20-nucleotide microRNA is filed under the name Canis lupus familiaris (dog). Its description in RNAcentral is "cfa-miR-1844". The record is from miRBase by way of RNAcentral. Lineage: Eukaryota; Metazoa; Chordata; Mammalia; Carnivora; Canidae.